AUGAUGGAGAUGACGAUGGAGAUGACAAGUGAGACCUUCAAGAGGGAUUCCAGCAAGACAGUGACGAUGGAAGGACUAUUAGCAUAUGCUCGCAUGCAGGAUCACUGGAAGCAUAUAAAGGUGAAAAUUAGCAAGCAAGCUACAGUCGGUGCAUGGAUGACCAAGUUUACUUGUUACUUUAUGAAGAUGAUGAUUCCUCACGAGGACAUGACUACCUUGGAUAUGACCAAAAAUAUUACAUACAUGUAUAUUUGUGAGGUGAUUUCUAAUGCAAACUAUGCAAUAAUUUAUUUAUGUCAUCCAGGACAAAAAUACUUCACAGACUUUUUUGCCAUGUGUCGGUGUACAAAAGUAGAGGCCCUUCUGUACCCCUUUACUUGUGCACGGGAAGUCGUAGCCACACCUGCGGCUGGGCUCGGCAGGGCAGAGGAAGCAAAGACACAAGGCUGCCGAGGCAGCACCCAUGCCAGGAGCAUAAAGAGCAAACGGACAAGAUGGGCUUCCCCCGGCAAGAGCCUUGCUGGGACGGCCUGCAUGGCCCCGGCGAGAGCCUUGCCGGGGCAACCUGCCCAACACCAGCAAGAUCACCACCCUUGA
RNAcentral lists this ribosomal RNA (597 nucleotides) under Triticum aestivum (bread wheat). RNAcentral describes it as "partial small subunit ribosomal RNA". The record is from RNAcentral. Lineage: Eukaryota; Viridiplantae; Streptophyta; Magnoliopsida; Poales; Poaceae.